Molecule: ribosomal RNA, 497 nt
Filed under: uncultured bacterium
Lineage: Bacteria
Description: partial 16S ribosomal RNA
Rfam family: Bacterial small subunit ribosomal RNA
Source: RNAcentral
GAUGAACGCUGGCGGCGUGCCUAAUACAUGCAAGUCGGGCGAACGGACGAGAAGCUUGCUUCUCUGAUGUUAGCGGCGGACGGGUGAGUAACACGUGGAUAACCUACCUAUAUGACUGGGAUAACUUCGGGAAACCGGAGCUAAUACCGGAUAAUAUUUUGAACCGCAUGGUUCAAAAGUGAAAGACGGUCUUGCUGUCACUUAUAGAUGGAUCCGCGCUGCAUUAGCUAGUUGGUAAGGUAACGGCUUACCAAGGCAACGAUGCAUAGCCGACCUGAGAGGGUGAUCGGCCACACUGGAACUGAGACACGGUCCAGACUCCUACGGGAGGCAGCAGUAGGGAAUCUUCCGCAAUGGGCGAAAGCCUGACGGAGCAACGCCGCGUGAGUGAUGAAGGUCUUCGGAUCGUAAAACUCUGUUAUUAGGGAAGAACAUAUGUGUAAGUAACUGUGCACAUCUUGACGGUACCUAAUCAGAAAGCCACGGCUAACUACGUG